GAUGAACGCUGGCGGCGUGCCUAAUACAUGCAAGUUGAGCGAACAGACGAGGAGCUUGCUCCUUUGACGUUAGCGGCGGACGGGUGAGUAACACGUAGGUAACCUACCUAUAAGACUGGGAUAACUUCGGGAAACCGGAGCUAAUACCGGAUAAUAUUUCGAACCGCAUGGUUCGAUAGUGAAAGAUGGCUUUGCUAUCACUUAUAGAUGGACCUGCGCCGUAUUAGCUAGUUGGUAAGGUAACGGCUUACCAAGGCAACGAUACGUAGCCGACCUGAGAGGGUGAUCGGCCACACUGGAACUGAGACACGGUCCAGACUCCUACGGGAGGCAGCAGUAGGGAAUCUUCCGCAAUGGGCGAAAGCCUGACGGAGCAACGCCGCGUGAGUGAUGAAGGUCUUCGGAUCGUAAAACUCUGUUAUUAGGGAAGAACAAACGUGUAAGUAACUGUGCACGUCUUGACGGUA
RNAcentral lists this ribosomal RNA (467 nucleotides) under uncultured bacterium. RNAcentral describes it as "bacterial SSU rRNA". It matches the Rfam family "Bacterial small subunit ribosomal RNA", at positions 28 to 477 of the family's 1533-position model. The record is from RNAcentral.